Molecule: long non-coding RNA, 6591 nt
Organism: Carassius auratus (goldfish)
Lineage: Eukaryota; Metazoa; Chordata; Actinopteri; Cypriniformes; Cyprinidae
Exons: 3
Source: RefSeq, a predicted model, not a curated record
UAUCGCAAUACAACGCUAUUGAUGAGUAAAUCAUAGGGGAAUGCAAGAACCGUGAUUUUUGCAUGUUUUCUUUAUAGGGUUAUGCCCUUUUCAUUUACACUUCUUGAAUGUGUACUGAAUAUUAAAUAAGCCUGAGUUAUGCUGGUAAGCUGAGCCUUCUAAUGUGGCACUCAAAGUUCAAUUAUUUCAACAGCAUGUUUCAUGAAAUCUCUCUUUGAAUGAAUCAGUGUUUUUUUAAAGCAUAGUUGAAUGAAUGGUUUGAAGACUGACUGACAGUCCGUCUAGAACACGCAGGUAAAAAUAUGAAUAGAAAGACUCUUGUCCAGUCAGAAUUGAAUUUGUACAUUAGAUUCUGCUAUGUAGAUAUGCAGUAUUUUACUGAAACCGUUUGUUUCUUUUUUUAGACAAAUAUAGGCAUGGGUUGCUAGAUAAAACACCAUUAAAAAACUUCUUUUUAGCUCAAUCCUAAAAUAUUUUACAACUCCCUCCAGCUCUUCAGAAAUGUUCCCAUCUACUAGAAAUGGAAAACAUGUGUUUAUAUGUAAGCACAGCCAACAUCUCCUCUCCCGUGUAGCAGUUCACUUCUCCAUGGCAACAGCAAUUGUCUGUAACAUGAAAAAUGCAAUUUCUAUAGAAUCUUGGACUUUAAUGUGAGAAAAGAUUCACUGUUUAGCUUGAGAAUUUACAUUGAGAAUGAGCUAAUAUUUAAUUUUUUUUUUUUUUUUUCGCUUAUAGUUCAACGUUUCUGUCAAGGUAAACAUGUUUGGAUUUUACGCUCAUGAUCAUGUUCCAUAUAUUGAUAUUGUGCAUUUCGUCAUAUUUUCUAUUCAGAGCAUUCAAUACCUUUGCCUUAAACCCUCUAUUUCCCACAAGAGCUAGUUUUUGUCUUCAGUCAGCGGUGUUGAUUCACAGAGUUACAAUUCUUCUCCCCUCUUGAUUAGAAAGCGGAGGAAGGAAGUCUGGGCAACUUCACAGCAAUUGCAACCACAAUGGCUCGUUACCUCCAGAACAAAACCCUCCAUACACAUCCCAUGAGAUGGUCAGUUCUGUUGCAGACCGAUUUUCCCCAGUGCGCUCCCUGGGCCGCUCCACAUGUGCCAGAUGUGAGUCGUCUUUGUGCUCGGAGUCAACCCCAGAACAUCUACUCCAUCCUGAAGACAUCUUGCAAGCAACUGCAAUUCAUAUCCAGAGAAGAAACUUGGCAGAGCUUCAGACAAAUAUAAGUGUCCGCUCUUGAUUAGAGCAAGGCUGGUGAGAGGAUCAACUCCUGACAGGACGUUUGUUUGAUAAAUUUACACAGCAAAAAAAUACGAUGCAUGAGAUUUUGAGACAUUUCGAAAAACUUGGCAUGUUCUGUUAAUUAUUGUUAAUACAUUUCCUUUUCUAAUCAUUUUGUUUACAAGGACGUGACAUGUCAAGGGGCUUGUAAGUAUUUUCAACUCCAGACAGAUGUUUCUUUUAGUCAUUAUUAGAUAAACAAAGACUUCCAGCCAAGGAAAUCACUACAGUUUGAAAUGACAUAUAUCUCCAUAACCGUAUCUGCAACGUCUAACUCAUGAGUUGCGCUGUAUUUCUUUGUCUCAGCACCCCAUUUAGAACAAGCUAGACCGGCUGCAGUAUAUUUCACGGAUCUUAAACGAAUCUCGUGUUUCAUAAAUCAAAUUAUUUCAAGUUAUUCUUCAUUUCUGCCUAUUUCAUUAUGUCACGAUGAAGAACUGUGUCCGGUCUUCGCUGUUUAGAGCUUUAGCGGGAGAAAGAGGGGGGGAGGGGAAGAGUAUGAGUUUGUGUGUGUUCUGUCUUUUUCUUUUGCUGCAGACAGACUGGGGAUGUCAGGUGCAUGAUGGGAAGUGGGUUCGCAGGGGACAGCAGUGUGGCGUAAGGCCAGAAUCAAUUGGCGGUGUAAUGAGAUGGCUUGGUGCCAGGUUUCCAUGGAGCUCACUUUUCCUGUCCUUCACUGGAGGAUUUGUAAAUUAAAGGGAGAGAGAAAGCUUUGGAGGGAGGCAGGAGAGAAAGGGAGAGAGGCAAACAGAAAGAAAAGGAGGGAGUGGGUGGCAGAGGAGUAGCAAAAGGGCACAACCAAAGGAGGGGGCACGAAGCUAGACAGAGAAAGGUGCAGCGAUUUACAAAAAAGAAAGAGGGGAUGCAAGACAGAGGCUUGGAAUGCUGUAGCUCCAGAGAGCUCAGCACAGCGCAAUUCGCCGAAGAUGACGGGGCUUCGUAAUGCGCGCUGUCUUUCAGACAUUUUUUUUGGUUUUUGAUGCCGAACUCAAGCUCAGGAUCUCAGAGAUAAGGUACACUUGGCGAAGAGAUGAAAAGAAGGUCUUUCCUUUCUAUUUCUGUGUGCCACAAUGAUAGGUGCUUUUCAUUUCUGCCCCCUCGAGCCAAAAAUCUGUCUGAUAAAACUUACUGAAAUCAGUGCAGUCAUAUCCCUUCAAUCCAGCAGCGAAAAGACUGUCGUGAUUGCGCAAAAAGUGGCUGAUUAGCAUUAUAAAACAUCAUUUAUUUUGAGAGUCAUUCACUUUGCGACUCUAUUACGGAUAACCUUGCGCAAGAAGUUCUUCUUCGCUUAUCAUUCUCGCAGCUACAUUUCAGAAUACAGCAUGCUUUAAAAUUGAAGGUUUUCUCACGCACAAAGGACUCUCGUCUUGUGCGGUUAAUGCCCUUCUUUUUCACAAAGGCCAACUUUUUUUCAUUUAGGAGCUUAAUUCUUCCACUCCGGGGGUAUUUCAUUCCCAAGAUCUCCGGUUUGUCCAUGUUGAAUUAACCACCAGCUUUCCCGCAGGCACCGCAAUGUUUUAUGCAUACCGUUUAUUAAUUUACAUCACGAUUUGCCUGUUUAUCCAGACUCGGAUAAUCCUUUUCACUCUGAUCACAAAUUUACAGCAUUCCUAUUUUAUGGGCCUUGGCAUCUUUAAGCUGAUAAUUUAUUUUGAAUGAAACAAAUUCGUAGAAGCUGGAACUCUCCUUGUCUUGAUUCGGGCGGGAGGGUGUGGAUGUUGAUGGUGCCGGCUGGGCCCGUGUUGGAUUAGAAGCCUGAAGUAUAUUGACGGAGCAUUUGAGGUCAGCUGGGGACACACAAGACUGUAACCCGCUGAGAACCACAGAGGAACCGGCUGAGUCAUGGUCUCAAAUCAGUUUCAGCCAAUCCUGGAGGGUGGAUGCGAUGGUGGUGGAACAGAGUGGAUAGUGUUGGAGUGGUUCAUGGGUAGACGGGAACAAAGAGACUCUUCAUGUCCUCUGUGCCUCACAUGCAUCAUCUCGCAUAAAGCUCAUUCUGUCUGUAUUGGGAUACUAUCCUCUUAUUUCCCCGAUACAUUCUUAAGAUGUUGUGCAGGGAUAACAUAAAGAAAAGGAGAAGAUGCUUGAACCUUACCACAAAUCAAAGCUAAAUGACACUAAUUGGUCCACCGGCGCUGUUUUCUCUUGACUGCAGACCGCAUUGUAAUGAAAACAAAACACCACUUUGGAGCAUUUUCUUUCCCACGAGAUUAACCGUAAUUAACUAGUAUCACUGCUGGGCAGCAGGUGAUGUCUCAGCCACGGACAAAGGGCUGAUUGGUCAUGCUACAUUUUUGGAUGUAAUUGAGACACAGUUUACUUCAUAUUUAACCUUCGUCAACAGCACCAUUUUAUUGAUGUGCUAAUAUUGAUCAUUUAUUUAACAUGCUGAGACUUUCUCUAAUGUAGAGGCCUUGGGUUUAUAGUAGAAGGCAGAAAAAAUAAGUUCAUGUUGUAGCUUCUGUUUUGCAUUUUUAAUUUAAUAAUAUUUUUUAAAUGUCAAUAAUAACAAUAAGAAGAAUUAAUCACAUUUCAUCUGUAAUUUUUUUUAACUACAUUUGAACUCUUUUAAAACUAUUUUGAGAAUAUUUUUGUAUUUAAUUGUUUCAGUGAAAACCACACUUAAGCUAUUUUAACUGUGGAAAAACCUGAUGAUCGUGUUCUCCAGUAUGAUGCGAGUUGAUCCAAAAAGCUUCUAGUGCAUCAAUGGCAACAAGAACAUCUCGUGUCCGUUCAAAGACAGUCACAUGGUCAGUGUCACAUGUCAUUUAAUUUUAGAUAGUAACCAAGAAAUAAUGUAGAACCUGCAACGCAUGUAAAUAUAUAUAUCAGACAUCAGAACUUUUCUUUGUCACUUUCCAGUUUUAAAUGUGAUUCUAAAUCCUAGAUUUCAGAGUUUUGGUCCUUCAGAUCCCACUUGGUCACUUUCUGCUGCAAUUUCUAGCUCUGGCUUUAUAUCUGGCUGGUCAGGAGUGAGACAGAGAGACCGCUGGCCCGUUUUUUAGAUUUUGGUUAAUGCAAUGGAUUGGUGGAGCAGUGCCGCAGCAGUGCGUGAGUAGAAUAUCAGAGAGAGGGAGAGGCAUUGAAUUUGGAGGGGUGAGACAUGGUGCCUUCUUAACGGAGUCUGAAGGCAUAUGUUUAUCACCGACACGCUGUACACUGUACACGACUCACCCUCCCUCCAACCACCACGCUGGGAGUCGAGUAGAGUAAGAGGGGCUGGAGGUAUUGCUUACAGUCAGCGCUCUGCGGGAAACACCACUGCGUGUUCACAUGGCUUCUCCCCGUCCCCUGGGAAACGGCACAUACCCGCCGGGCAUUCAAGUCUAUUGGGGUGUCAGCUUCAGUCUGCUGAGUACAGCCGGCAUCUUAAAGUGUGAACGCUGGAGAUGAUCAGGUUUUAAAGUGCUGUGUUUGGCCUAAUGCUGAGAUCAGCGCUCAAAAAACAUUUUCAACCUCUGCUGCUGGUGUUUCUUGUUGUUGUUGUUGUUUUUGGUAUAGUUAGGUUUGAUGCUCUGAUUUAUGAACGUCUACAUAGCAAAGCGCUAUAUUUGCAGACUGCUGAUCCUAAGAAGAUGUGCCACAAUAAGACCCUCUAUUCUUAGCCGGCACACACUGAUGCGCUUUGCUGUCAGCCUGGACCCACUAGUAUUUCAAUUAAAAAAAUCUUAUUUCACUAGAAAGAUAUAGGUUAAGACAAAAGAAAGGAAACACUGGUUUUCAGAAAGUGUCAGUGUUUGCCGAAAUGGCAAGUCCACCGCGAAGCAAUUUCGCCCCAGCAAACAAUGGCACGGGGCCAACGAGACUCUUUCAGAAGCUAGACUGAACUGCAGAUUAGUAUUUAUUUUUGGUGCAGAGAAGUCUUCCAAGAAGUAUGCGUGUGCAUGUGUGUGUGUUUUUGGGAGGUGUAUGUGUGUGAGGUUGGGGGGUUUGGUCGGGCGGUCUGGGAGAGGGGAGCGUGAGGACUGCCGAGGAGUUGUUACCUGGGUUGCUCCUCUACAGCUGGGAGAGAGAGAGAGGCAAGAGGAGGAGACGAGGUUAAGGGGUGACGGGACUGGUGCACAAACUCCAUUUUCCUUUUUGCCGAAUUUCCACAGUCGCUUCUUUCUUUUCUGUUUCGCUUCAUUCAACAGAGUGAGUGAAAGAGAGGGAGAGGGCUAUAGAGAGAGAGUGAAAGAGAAAAUCAAGCCAAUUUUUUUUUUAAGACUCGAUCUUGGCUUUCUUACAAACAGAUGUUGCCUGUCAUUUGGUCGUUAAGCAGGCACAUAGAUCGUACAAUACUGAGGUUUUACUGACUUGCUUUCUCUUAUUUAUGGUUUUAUUACAAGGAAAAUCGAUCUCUCAUAAACAUGGGAAUGAUUUUUUCCCAAUUCAUUGUUUUUUUUUAUUUUUAUAAUGUAUUUUUCCCUCGCUGUAUCUCAUCCAUUUGCUCGUUUCUAUUUUUUUUUUUUUUUUGCGCAUUUGUGUUUUGGGCUUUCGUGGGCCACAGUGGACGUCCUCCAUACCUUCUACCAGUACUGUAAGUACAGUGAGUGCAAUGAGACCUUUUGGAAACAGUAAACAGACAGUCGGUAAGCAUUUGAUUCUUUCUAUUCGGCAUAUUUGUUUACCACAUCGUUACGUUUUAUUUUCCUGUGCUUUAUAUUUGCCAUUUUUUAUCGUUGUUGUAGAAGUCAGUGUUGUUGGUGUGCAGGUUGCUGAGGCCUGGGCGUGUUAUUGAAGUUGAUCUGAUGUAAAAUCCUAUAUCCGUUCACUUUGGUUCAGAAAGACAGGGUCAGUCUCACUCCUGCUGACCCCUAUUCAGCUGAUUUUGAGGAGUCUUUCAACUUUUUGGCAUAGCCCCACUUACAUAGUUAAAGGAUCUUGGCACCUAGUUCAAAGUCAGUCUGUUCAUUUGUGUUCAAGUAGUGGGAAACGGGAAGGGAACUGUCAGAAGCUCUUCACCGGAGGUGCAGUGCCAGUCCAAAUCGACCAUCACAUUAUUUCACACUGAGCCACGUGUUAUUAAUGGCACUGGGUUUGGCUUUGUGGGCCAGACUUACUUCACACAUCUUUAUUAUGCUUAGGAGGGGCCUGAAACAUUUGGAUGCAGAAAUCUUCUGGGUUUGAGAGAAAUGUUGUUUCUGUUUGGUGAGACAGUAUACUAAAUUUAGACAACAUAGGUCAUUACUGUAAUGCAUAGGUGCUGCCCUGUGAAUGAUUCAGAAUUGAGGGCUUAAGCUUACCUUAGUUUUUGAAAUGUAGAAACAAGACUUUUAAAGUCAGCCAUUGCCAGUGCUUUAUUUUAAUGCUUGAUUUUCAUAACAAAAAAAA